RNAcentral lists this ribosomal RNA (253 nucleotides) under uncultured bacterium. RNAcentral's name for it is "partial 16S ribosomal RNA". It matches the Rfam family "Bacterial small subunit ribosomal RNA", at positions 524 to 776 of the family's 1533-position model. The record is from RNAcentral.
UACAGAGGGGGCAAGCGUUAUUCGGAAUUAUUGGGCGUAAAGGGCGCGUAGGCGGCUUGGCAAGUGGAAGGUGAAAUCCCUCGGCUUAACCGAGGAACUGCCCUCCAAACUGCUUCGCUUGAGACCGGGAGAGGUGAGUGGAAUUCCCAGUGUAGCGGUGAAAUGCGUAGAUAUUGGGAGGAACACCAGUGGCGAAGGCGGCUCACUGGACCGGUCCUGACGCUGAUGCGCGAAAGCGUGGGGAGCAAACGGG